AGCAGCCACUCAUUAAAAGAGUGCGUAAUAGCUCACUGGUCGAGUGACUCUGCGCCGAAAAUUUAACGGGGCUAAACUAUACACCGAAGCUUGGGAUACAUCUAAUGUAUGGUAGGAGAGCGUUCUGUAUGGAGAGAAGUCGUAGCGAAAGCGGCGGUGGACUAUACAGAAGUGAGAAUGCCGGAAUAAGUAGCGAGAAUUAAGUGAGAAUCUUAAUGGCCGAAAGUCUAAGGUUUUUGGAGGAAGGUUCGUCCGCUCCAAGUAAGUCGGGAGCUAAGGUCAGGCCGAAAGGCGUAGCCGAUGCACAUACGGUUGAUAUUCCGUAACCAUCUGUAAUUUAAGCAAAGGGACACUUCAAAAGGGUGUGACCCGGGCGUUGGUUGACCCGGGCGUAAGGGACCGAAAUUAGAGUAGGGAAGCACACUUAGCUGAAGGCGAGAAAAGCUUUGCGUAUAGAAGCAGAUGCCCGUACCGCAAACCGACACAGGUGGACAGGAAGAGAAUUCUAAGGCCAGCGGGAGAAGGGUAGUUAAGGAACUCGGCAAAUUGACUCCGUAACUUCGGAAUAAGGAGUGCUCGAAAGAGCCGCAGAGAAUAGGCCCAGGCGACUGUUUAGCAAAAACACAGGUCUCUGCCAAAUCGAAAGAUGAAGUAUAGGGGCUGACACCUGCCCGGUGCCGGAAGGUUAAGAGGAGGAGUGAGAGCUCCGAAUUGAAGCCCCGGUAAACGGCGGCCGUAACUAUAACGGUCCUAAGGUAGCGAAAUUCCUUGUCGGGUAAGUUCCGACCCGCACGAAUGGUGUAACGAUCUGGGCACUGUCUCAACUACCCACCCGGCGAAAUUGUAGUACCGGUGAAGAUGCCGGUUACCUGCGGCAAGACGGAAAGACCCCAUGGAGCUUUACUGUAGCCUGAUAUUGGGUUUCGGAAAUCUAUGUACAGGAUAGGCGGGAGACUAGGAAACAUGAGCGUCAGCUUGUGUGGAGUCGAUGUUGGGAUACCGCCCUUAGGUUUCUGGAAUUCUAACCUGCGGCCGUGAAUCCGGUCGGGGGACAUUGUCAGGUGGGCAGUUUGACUGGGGCGGUCGCCUCCGAAAAGAUAACGGAGGCGCUCAAAGGUUAGCUCAGCACGGACGGAAACCGUGCCUCUGAGUGUAAACGCAAAAGCUAGCCUAACUGCGAGGGUGACGGCCCGAGCAGUAACGAAAGUUGGAGUUAGUGAUCCGGCGGUAUGUGAAUGGAAAUGCCGUCGCUCAACGGAUAAAAGCUACCCUGGGGAUAACAGGCUGAUCUCCCCCAAGAGUCCACAUCGACGGGGAGGUUUGGCACCUCGAUGUCGGCUCAUCACAUCCUGGGGCUGUAUUCGGUCCCAAGGGUUCGGCUGUUCGCCGAUUAAAGUGGUACGCGAGCUGGGUUCAGAACGUCGCGAGACAGUUCGGUCCCUAUCUGUCGUGGGCGCAGGAUAUUUGAGGAGCUCUGUCCUUAGUACGAGAGGACCGGGAUGGACGUACCUCUGGUGCACCAGUUGUCAUGCCAAUGGCACGGCUGGGCAGCUAUGUACGGAACGGAUAAACGCUGAAAGCAUCUAAGCGUGAAGCCGACUCCAAGAUUAGAUAUCCCAUCGUAUAACGAGUAAGACCCCUUGAAGACUACGAGGUUGAUAGGCUGCGUGUGUAAGUGCCGUGAGGCAUUCAGCUUGGCAGUACUAAUAGGUCGAGGGCUUGACCAC
This 1727-nucleotide ribosomal RNA is filed under the name metagenome. Its description in RNAcentral is "bacterial LSU rRNA". It matches the Rfam family "Bacterial large subunit ribosomal RNA", at positions 1111 to 2925 of the family's 2925-position model. RNAcentral also lists the same sequence under 1 other name. The record is from RNAcentral.